AUACGUAGGGUGCGAGCGUUGUCCGGAAUUACUGGGCGUAAAGAGCUCGUAGGUGGUUUGUCGCGUCGUCUGUGAAAUUCCGGGGCUUAACUCCGGGCGUGCAGGCGAUACGGGCAUAACUUGAGUACUGUAGGGGAGACUGGAAUUCCUGGGGUAGCGGUGAAAUGCGCAGAUAUCAGGAGGAACACCGGUGGCGAAGGCGGGUCUCUGGUAAGUAACUGACGCGGAGGAGCGAAAGCGUGGGGAGCAAACAGGAUUAGAUACCCUGGUAGUCCACGCCGUAAACGGUGGGCGCUAGGUGUAGGGGUCUUCCACGACUUCUGUGCCGUAGCUAACGCAUUAAGCGCCCCGCCUGGGGAGUACGGCCGCAAGGCUAAAACUCAAAGGAAUUGACGGGG
Molecule: ribosomal RNA, 398 nt
Filed under: uncultured bacterium
Lineage: Bacteria
Description: partial 16S ribosomal RNA
Rfam family: Bacterial small subunit ribosomal RNA
Source: RNAcentral